This 72-nucleotide transfer RNA is filed under the name Lagocephalus inermis (smooth blaasop). RNAcentral describes it as "tRNA-Asp". It matches the Rfam family "tRNA". From Rfam's summary of the family: Transfer RNA (tRNA) molecules are approximately 80 nucleotides in length. Their secondary structure includes four short double-helical elements and three loops (D, anti-codon, and T loops). The record is from RNAcentral. Lineage: Eukaryota; Metazoa; Chordata; Actinopteri; Tetraodontiformes; Tetraodontidae.
AAGACACUGGUGAAAUAGUAAUCACACUGCCUUGUCAAGGCAGAAUUGUGGGUUCAACCCCCGCGUGUCUUG